Molecule: ribosomal RNA, 260 nt
Filed under: uncultured bacterium
Lineage: Bacteria
Description: partial 16S ribosomal RNA
Rfam family: Bacterial small subunit ribosomal RNA
Source: RNAcentral
UACGGAGGGUGCAAGCGUUAUCCGGAUUCACUGGGUUUAAAGGGUGCGUAGGCGGACUGUUAAGUCAGUGGUGAAAUCUCAGAGCUUAACUCUGAACUGCCAAGCUUGAUAGGACUAGUCAGUCUUGAAUGUUCUGGAGGUGAGCGGAAUAUGUCAUGUAGCGGUGAAAUGCUUAGAUAUGACAUAGAACACCAAUUGCGUAGGCAGCUCACUAACGGAAAUAUUGACGCUGAGGCACGAAAGCGUGAGGAUCAAACAGG